AAGGAUCAUUAAUGUAAUUGAUGUUCGACGAGGUUGUUGCUGGCCGAUUGUGCAUGUGCACGCCUUGCCGUCUUGUCCAUUCAUCACACCUGUGCACCAUUGUAGCUGGGGGGAUGAUCACGGGAUCGUUGCAGAUCCUGAAUGCCCCUCGCUAUGAACGUUGUUAUAACGCCCUUGAUAAAAAGUAGAUUUGGAAUGUUAUUGGAAAAUGAAAUACAACUUUCAGCAACGGAUCUCUUGGCUCUC
Molecule: unclassified non-coding RNA, 246 nt
Filed under: uncultured fungus
Lineage: Eukaryota; Fungi
Description: partial contains 18S rRNA, ITS1, 5.8S rRNA, ITS2 and 28S rRNA
Source: RNAcentral